CGGCGUGCCUAACACAUGCAAGUCGUACGGAAAGCCGGCUUCGGGCUGGUGAGUAAAGUGGCGCACGGGUGAGUAACGCGUGGAUAAUCUGCCCUUAAGUGUGGAAUAACGUACCGAAAGGUGCGCUAAUACCGCAUAAUGCCUGGCAACACAAGUUGUCCGGCCAAAGAAGGCCUCUGUUUACAAGCUUUCGCUUCAGGAUGAGUCCGCGUACCAUUAGCUUGUUGGUGGGGUAAUGGCCUACCAAGGCUGCGAUGGUUAGCUGGUCUGAGAGGAUGAUCAGCCACACUGGAACUGAGACACGGUCCAGACUCCUACGGGAGGCAGCAGUGAGGAAUAUUGCGCAAUGGGGGCAACCCUGACGCAGCAACGCCGCGUGAGUGAGGAAGGUUUUCGGACUGUAAAGCUCUGUCGAGCGGGAAGAAGUGUACCAUGGCUAAUAUCCAUGAUAUUUGACGGUACCGCUAGAGGAAGCACCGGCUAACUCCGUG
Molecule: ribosomal RNA, 491 nt
Filed under: uncultured bacterium
Lineage: Bacteria
Description: bacterial SSU rRNA
Rfam family: Bacterial small subunit ribosomal RNA
Source: RNAcentral